CAGGAUCAGAAAUAUAUCAUUUAAAAUUUUAAUUGAACGCAGCCACUCCCACAAUAUGAGAGUUCAGAUCAAGUUACAAGCUGAAACUGUGAAGGAAAACAGUAAUCUGUAGUCUUGCUUGUUUGUUGCCGCUGUUAAAGGCUCCAGAAUCCUUGUGAUGCUAGUUCUAAGAGGGAAAACCACUUCCAUUUUUACCAAAAUCACUCUUUUUGACCCAUCUCCAGGAUUGCAAUUGCAAUAUAAUUUCGUGGUUAAUUACAAUUACCAAUUGGCCAAUUGGGAUGAACUAUUUUAAUAAGAAAAAGAAAAAGAAUAAAGCAUCUAAAACAAACCUAAGAAACAUUUUGCAUUAAUUAACAUAUACAAAACAGGGGAACUAAUUUCUUUACAUAAUCUGGGUUGAUCUUGAUUAUCAACAAGGUGCAAACCUGUCCAUAAUCAUGCAAACUGUGGCCUCAGAAAUGGUAGUUUCUCUGUGAACCACUUUGCUCUCUUUACCAGCUUCCUUUUCUUCUUCAGCUACUACUCCUCCUUUGGCUUUUGACAAGAAUAGUAAUGGCUUCUUUGGCCUGACCUUCUCUUUAAGCUUAGCUAGCUCAGUCGCCCAUGUCUCCACUACUGCAGACAUUUCUGCCGAGAUGAACCUAAACCCAAUUCCUCUUCUUUGAAGUGCUUUUUGUUAAAUAUGAGAAUGGGCACAAGGCUAGCUAGAGGAUUUAUAGAGAAGUUGAGGAAAACCAAUGGAAAAUUCGGCCCUCUCAAGUUUUGUGGCAGUUGUUUUAGAAGGAGGACCAUAGAAAACCGCAUGUGG
This 811-nucleotide unclassified non-coding RNA is filed under the name Hevea brasiliensis (rubber tree). Lineage: Eukaryota; Viridiplantae; Streptophyta; Magnoliopsida; Malpighiales; Euphorbiaceae. The record is from RNAcentral.